This 481-nucleotide ribosomal RNA is filed under the name uncultured bacterium. Its description in RNAcentral is "partial 16S ribosomal RNA". It matches the Rfam family "Bacterial small subunit ribosomal RNA", at positions 28 to 523 of the family's 1533-position model. The record is from RNAcentral.
GACGAACGCUGGCGGCGUGCUUAACACAUGCAAGUCGAACGAUGAAGGAGAGCUUGCUCUCCGGAUUAGUGGCGAACGGGUGAGUAACACGUGACUAACCUGCCCCUUUCUCUGGGAUAACGCUCCGAAAGGAGUGCUAAUACCGGAUACGAACUCUGAACACAUGUUCGGAGUUGGAAAGUUUUUCGGAAAGGGAUGGAGUCGCGGCCUAUCAGCUUGUUGGUGAGGUAACGGCGCACCAAGGCGACGACGGGUAGCCGGCCUGCGAGGGCGACCGGCCACACUGGGACUGAGACACGGCCCAGACUCCUACGGGAGGCAGCAGUGGGGAAUAUUGCACAAUGGGCGAAAGCCUGAUGCAGCGACGCCGCGUGAGGGAUGAAGGUCUUCGGAUUGUAAACCUCUUUCAGUAGGGACGAAGCGAAAGUGACGGUACCUAAAGAAGAAGCACCGGCUAACUACGUGCCAGCCGCCGCGGUAA